Molecule: ribosomal RNA, 756 nt
Filed under: uncultured bacterium
Lineage: Bacteria
Description: bacterial SSU rRNA
Rfam family: Bacterial small subunit ribosomal RNA
Source: RNAcentral
AGAGUUUGAUCAUGGCUCAGAGUCAACGCUGGCGGCGUGCCUAACACAUGCAAGUCGCACGAGAAAGGGUAGCAAUACCUGAGUGCAGUGGCGCACGGGUGAGUAACACGUGAAUCAUCUACCUUCGAGUGGGGAAUAACUGGGAGAAAUCUCAGCUAAUACCGCAUAACACCUACGGGUCAAAGCAGCAAUGCGCUUGAAGAGGAGUUCGCGGCAGAUUAGUUAGUUGGCGGGGUAAUGGCCCACCAAGACGAUGAUCUGUAUCCGGCCUGAGAGGGCGCACGGACACACUGGAACUGAAACACGGUCCAGACUCCUACGGGAGGCAGCAGUGGGGAAUUUUGCGCAAUGGGGGAAACCCUGACGCAGCAACGCCGCGUGGAGGAUGAAAUCCCUUGGGAUGUAAACUCCUUUCGAUCGGGACGAUUAUGACGGUACCGGAAGAAGAAGCCCCGGCUAACUUCGUGCCAGCAGCCGCGGUAAUACGAGGGGGGCAAGCGUUGUUCGGAAUUAUUGGGCGUAAAGGGCGCGUAGGCGGUUUGACAAGUCUGAUGUGAAAUCUAUGGGCUCAACCCAUAGCCUGCAUUAGAAACUGUCGGGCUUGAGUAUGGGAGAGGUGAGUGGAAUUUCCGGUGUAGCGGUGAAAUGCGUAGAUAUCGGAAGGAACACCUGUGGCGAAAGCGGCUCACUGGACCAUAACUGACGCUGAGGCGCGAAAGCUAGGGGAGCAAACAGGAUUAGAUACCCUAGUAGUCC